GUGGCACAGCGCAUGAGUUGCUGUCUAACAGCGCCAGAUAUCCGGAUUCGACCCUGACUACGGGUGCUGUCUGAAUGGAGCUUGUACGUUCUCCCUGUAACCAUGUAUGUUUUCUCUGGGUGCUCUGG
Molecule: long non-coding RNA, 128 nt
Organism: Amblyraja radiata (thorny skate)
Lineage: Eukaryota; Metazoa; Chordata; Chondrichthyes; Rajiformes; Rajidae
Exons: 3
Source: RefSeq, a predicted model, not a curated record